This 160-nucleotide ribosomal RNA is filed under the name uncultured bacterium. RNAcentral's name for it is "partial 16S ribosomal RNA". It matches the Rfam family "Bacterial small subunit ribosomal RNA", at positions 357 to 509 of the family's 1533-position model. The record is from RNAcentral.
GGGAAUCUUCCACAAUGGACGAAAGUCUGAUGGAGCAACGCCGCGUGAGUGAAGAAGGGUUUCGGCUCGUAAAGCUCUGUUGGUAGUGAAGAAAGAUAGAGGUAGUAACUGGCCUUUAUUUGACGGUAAUUACUUAGAAAGUCACGGCUAACUACGUGCC